AGUUUGAUCAUGGCUCAGGAUGAACGCUGGCUGCAUGCUUAACACAUGCAAAUGGAGGGGAAACUACUGGGAAGCUUGCUUCCCCGGGCGUCGACCGGCGCACGGGUGAGUAACGCGUAUCCUACCUGCCUCUGAGGGAGGGAUAACCCAUCGAAAGUCUAGCCUAAUACCUCAUGGCAUCGUCUGCGGGCAUCCAACGACGAUUAUAGAUUUCAUCGGUCAGGGAUGGGGAUGCGUCUGAUUAGCUUGUUGGCGGGGUAACGGCCCACCAAGGCGACGAUGGGUAGGGGUUCUGAGAGGAAGGUCCCCCACAUUGGAACUGAGACACGGUCCAAACUCCUACCGGAGGCAACAAUGAUGAAUAUUGGUCAAUGGGCGGGAGCCUGAACCAGCCAAGUAGCGUGCACGAAGACGGCCCUAUGGGUUGUAAACUGCUUUUAUGCGGGGAUAAAGUGAGGGACGUGUCCUUCAUUGCAAGUACCGCGUGAAUAACGACCGGCUACUUCCGUGCCAUCAGCCGCGGUAAUUACGGAAGGUCCGGGCGUUAUCCGGAUUUACUGGGUUUAAAGGGAGCGUAAGCCGUGGAUUAAUCGUGUUGUCAAAUGCAGGUGCUCAACGUCUGCCAUUGCAGCGCGAACUGGUCCACUUGAGUGUGCACAACGCAGGCGGAAUUCGUCCUGUAGCGGUGAAAUGCUUAGAUAUGACGAAGAACUCCGAUUGCGAAGGCAGCUUGCGGGAGCACAACCGACGCUGAAGCUCGAAAGUGCGGGUAUCGAACAGGAUUAGAUACCCUGGUAGUCCGCACGGUAAACGAUGGAUGCCCGUUGUCAGGCUGUUUCAGCCUGGUGACCAAGCGAAAGCAUUAAGCAUCCCACCUGGGGAGUACGCCGGCAACGGUGAAACUCAAAGGAAUUGACGGGGGCCCGCACAAGCGGAGGAACAUGUGGUUUAAUUCGAUGAUACGCGAGGAACCUUACCCGGGCUUGAAUUGCAGACGAAGGCUUCAGAGAUGAAGCGGCCCUUCGGGGCGUCUGUGAAGGUGCUGCAUGGUUGUCGUCAGCUCGUGCCGUGAGGUGUCGGCUUAAGUGCCAUAACGAGCGCAACCCCUUUCUUCAGUUGCCAUCAGGUGAUGCUGGGCACUCUGGAGACACUGCCACCGCAAGGUGUGAGGAAGGUGGGGAUGACGUCAAAUCAGCACGGCCCUUACGUCCGGGGCUACACACGUGUUACAAUGGCCGGUACAGAGAGUUGAUUUUGUGCAAACACGAUCUAAUCCUUAAAUCCGGUCCCAGUUCGGACUGGGGUCUGCAACCCGACCCCACGAAGCUGGAUUCGCUAGUAAUCGCGCAUCAGCCACGGCGCGGUGAAUACGUUCCCGGGCCUUGUACACACCGCCCGUC
Molecule: ribosomal RNA, 1400 nt
Filed under: uncultured bacterium
Lineage: Bacteria
Description: 16S ribosomal RNA
Rfam family: Bacterial small subunit ribosomal RNA
Source: RNAcentral